Molecule: ribosomal RNA, 253 nt
Filed under: uncultured bacterium
Lineage: Bacteria
Description: partial 16S ribosomal RNA
Rfam family: Bacterial small subunit ribosomal RNA
Source: RNAcentral
UACGUAGGGUGCGAGCGUUAAUCGGAUUCACUGGGUUUAAAGGGUGCGUAGGUGGGCAGGUAAGUCAGUGGUGAAAUCCCCGAGCUUAACUUGGGAACUGCCAUUGAUACUAUUUGUCUUGAAUACUGUGGAGGUUAGCGGAAUAUGUCAUGUAGCGGUGAAAUGCUUAGAUAUGACAUAGAACAUCAAUUGCGAAGGCAGCUGGCUACACAAAUAUUGACACUGAUGCACGAAAGCGUGGGGAUCAAACAGG